Molecule: ribosomal RNA, 488 nt
Filed under: uncultured bacterium
Lineage: Bacteria
Description: bacterial SSU rRNA
Rfam family: Bacterial small subunit ribosomal RNA
Source: RNAcentral
GGACGAACGCUGGCGGCGUGCUUAACACAUGCAAGUCGAACGAGAGGACAAGAGAAGCUUGCUUCUUUUGGAAUCGAGUGGCAAAUGGGUGAGUAACACGUAAACAACCUGCCUUCAGGAUGGGGACAACAGACGGAAACGACUGCUAAUACCGAAUACGCUUGGGAGACCGCAUGAUCUUCCAAGGAAAGGGUGGCCUCUACUUGUAAGCUAUCGCCUGAAGAGGGGUUUGCGUCUGAUUAGGCAGUUGGUGAGGUAACGGCCCACCAAACCUACGAUCAGUAGCCGGUCUGAGAGGAUGAACGGCCACACUGGAACUGAGACACGGUCCAGACUCCUACGGGAGGCAGCAGUGGGGAAUCUUCCGCAAUGGGCGAAAGCCUGACGGAGCAACGCCGCGUGAGUGAUGAAGUAUUUCGGUAUGUAAAACUCUAUCAGCAGGGAAGAUAAUGACGGUACCUGACUAAGAAGCACCGGCUAAAUACGUG